Lolium rigidum is the source of this 640-nucleotide long non-coding RNA. RefSeq lists it as uncharacterized. The record is from RefSeq and is a predicted model, not a curated record. The transcript has 2 exons. Lineage: Eukaryota; Viridiplantae; Streptophyta; Magnoliopsida; Poales; Poaceae.
GGACCUGAUCUAACAAGAUGCUGGGCCGGUGGUACAUUUUACAACUUGGACCUCGUAGAGUUAUACAAUCGAGUGAACAGCCCUUCCUCAAUCCCAUCGUCUCUUUCCCUGUGGCCUCUCCUGUACCACACGGGAUGAGAGCUAGGGUUAGCAAAAUUUGCUCCGCCGCCUCCCUCCCCCUCCGCCGUGCCACUCGACCUUCCCCAUCUUUCCUGUACCUAUGGCAGGCGUUGUUGAAGCACCAGCGCAGGCCCCUCCCCCCAUCUGAAAAUGGCCGCGUCUAGCGAAAUCGUCUUUGCGGCCGGCGGCUGGCUGGCUGCGACCGCAACUCCGGGACGUCGCCGCUACCACGGCAAAUGAGUUGUUUAUUUUUGCAGCUCACGUAUCCAGGGAAAAGUUUAUGCAGUAUUGCAUCAGUGAAGUGAUUACAUCUGACACGAUCCAUGCCUGAAUUUCGGAAAAUUAUGGACAGUGUAAUAGGAGUAACGCCAGAGAUGUAUGGAUAUCUGUAGAGUAAGCAUUUUAGUGACCGUGUGUUGUAACUGAUCCUAUCAUGUGUAUCUCAGCAUAAAAAGAAGAAGAUUAAGCCUGUGUAUAUGAAGGCAUGAGUUAUCUUUAAUGUCUAUUUUUGUUUGAUUGA